Molecule: long non-coding RNA, 596 nt
Filed under: Malus domestica (apple)
Lineage: Eukaryota; Viridiplantae; Streptophyta; Magnoliopsida; Rosales; Rosaceae
Description: long non-coding RNA (MDOM_LNC005030)
Source: RNAcentral
GCCCAUAUUUUUGGGCCCCCGAGCUCAAUUGUUUAUUUUUUUAGACAAUUUGGGUUUUAUAUUUUUUUUCACCCGUAUUUUAAUUUUGGCCUGAAGUUCAAAUAAUUAAUUCAAUUAUAAUUUUAGACUUGAAUAUCUAUUUACAUAUUUUCUUGUUACAUAUAUCUAUAUAUAAUUGUGUUUGUCUGCAAGAACAUAUGAACCUGAAAUUCAUAAUUAUUUUGAAACAUGAAGUUUCUAGAAACAUGCCUUAUUUGAAAACCUGAAGUUUUCCUUCAAAACUUCACCCAUGAAAACCUGAAGUUUUUUCAUGUAAAUUUAAACCAAUACAGGUCUAUUAGAACCUGAGUGUUCUACUCUUAUAUGAAUGGAUUGAUUUUUCUCCAUUACACUAACCACAUCUUGUCCAUUUAUUUUGUAAUAGGAAUAUGUCGAAUUUGAACAAAUUCGACUUCACUGCGUUGGAGGUCUCUAGAAAAAACUACCUCAAGUAGGUCCAAGAUGUGAAGCUCCACCUCACUGUAAAGAAUUUGCGUUCCGCCAUUGAAGAUGAGACGGACAACCUAGUUAGCGAAGCUGAGAAAGCCACUGCUAUG